UUAUAGUAUCCGCAAGAUAAGAGCAAUGACAGUAAGAUUCCUGCCCAGCUCAGAGUAUGUAUUUGGCUUAGUCUGGCAUCAGAUAUAGGGGAAUUUCACAAAUUUUCAGAAGGAAAACUACUGAUAUAUGCUGAAAUGUAUGAAAACCAGAUAAAACUGGCACAGAAGUGGGGAACCAAGGGACUCUUUCAAAAGCCGCACUUUUCAGAUGUAACAGGGAGAGUUUGCAUUUCCAGAGAUAAGUUUGUGCUCCCACGUGGCUGGAAAUGGGCUACUGACUGGACCAUAAACCCAGAGAAAAGAAUGUUACUAGAAGCAGACACAGGUCAUCAAACAUUUCUAGAUGAGGUCUAUUUAAAUGAAGUUCGGAAUGACUGUGGACAGUGGGUUCCUGCUUCAGUCCCUUAUA
Protopterus annectens (West African lungfish) is the source of this 409-nucleotide long non-coding RNA. RefSeq lists it as uncharacterized. Lineage: Eukaryota; Metazoa; Chordata; Ceratodontiformes; Protopteridae. The record is from RefSeq and is a predicted model, not a curated record. The transcript is spliced from 3 exons.